Molecule: ribosomal RNA, 489 nt
Filed under: uncultured bacterium
Lineage: Bacteria
Description: partial 16S ribosomal RNA
Rfam family: Bacterial small subunit ribosomal RNA
Source: RNAcentral
UUGAACGCUGGCGGCAGGCCUAACACAUGCAAGUCGAACGGUAACGGGAAGCAGCUUGCUGCUUUGCUGACGAGUGGCGGACGGGUGAGUAAUGUCUGGGAAACUGCCCGAUGGAGGGGGAUAACUACUGGAAACGGUAGCUAAUACCGCAUAACGUCGCAAGACCAAAGAGGGGGACCUUAGGGCCUCUUGCCAUCGGAUGUGCCCAGAUGGGAUUAGCUAGUAGGUGGGGUAACGGCUCACCUAGGCGACGAUCCCUAGCUGGUCUGAGAGGAUGACCAGCCACACUGGAACUGAGACACGGUCCAGACUCCUACGGGAGGCAGCAGUGGGGAAUAUUGCACAAUGGGCGCAAGCCUGAUGCAGCCAUGCCGCGUGUAUGAAGAAGGCCUUCGGGUUGUAAAGUACUUUCAGCGGGGAGGAAGGGAGUAAAGUUAAUACCUUUGCUCAUUGACGUUACCCGCAGAAGAAGCACCGGCUAACUCCGUG